GGGUUGGGGCUCACAUUUAAAACCAACGAGAGAAAACAAAAAGAAAAGGAAAAAAGGAAAACCAACAACACAAAAGAAGCGAAUCUAAGACGUCAAAUGAGGUAGGUUUGGGUGCAGAAGCUCCUCGUGUCUGCGGGGCCCACGGCGGCGCUCCGGGGUCUCAUCCACACUCACAAACAAAAAGAGAUCCGAAAAAGGAACCGAGCGGAGCUCUGACAGCCGCCGACGACGGAGCAGAGCCCGGAUUGUCGAGCUCAAGGAGUCUUUGUUACCUUGGACGAAGCAAAGAAAACCCUGAGUUGUCCGUCUGUCCGUCCAUCCGUCCCGCUCGGCCCUCCGUGCUCCCAGCCUUCCUGCCAUCUCCGCAGCCCCGAUGCAGGCAGAGCCCCGAGGCCCCCGGCUCCGUGUUGGCGCCACGGACGACGCGGUUUUGUUUCGUUUCUGUCAUUUCUUUCUGUUUCCUCCUCCUCCCCGUUUAAUUCAUCCACUUCCUGCAGUUCCAGGCUCCGCAGUGGCAGGGGAUCUUGUGCUGAUCGUCCUCAAAGUCGAACUGGUAGUCGUAGGCGGCGGUACUGGGAGGACUUGGAGUGCACAAACUGCUUGCUGUACGGCGUGUUGGUUUCGCCCGUGAAGGUGCUCUG
Lagopus muta (rock ptarmigan) is the source of this 641-nucleotide long non-coding RNA. RefSeq lists it as uncharacterized. NCBI's taxonomy places the organism in Eukaryota, Metazoa, Chordata, Aves, Galliformes, Phasianidae. The record is from RefSeq and is a predicted model, not a curated record. The transcript has 3 exons.